This 222-nucleotide ribosomal RNA is filed under the name uncultured bacterium. RNAcentral describes it as "partial 16S ribosomal RNA". It matches the Rfam family "Bacterial small subunit ribosomal RNA", at positions 322 to 535 of the family's 1533-position model. The record is from RNAcentral.
UGAUUGGAUCGCCCUUCCUACGGGAGGCAGCAGUGGGGAAUAUUGCACAAUGGGCGCAAGCCUGAUGCAGCCAUGCCGCGUGUAUGAAGAAGGCCUUCGGGUUGUAAAGCGCUUUCAGCGAGGAGGAAGGCGUUGCAGUUAAUAGCUGCAGCGAUUGACGUUACUCGCAGAAGAAGCACCGGCUAACUCCGUGCCAGCAGCCGCGGUAAUAAGGGCGAUCCC